UCAGCCAAGAAGGUAACUUGUUAAGCAAGUCUAGGCUCUAGGAUGGGUGUUUUGAUUUUAUGUUGGAUGUAACCAUCCAUUUGUUGCCAGCACAUCUACAUGCUAUUACGUGAAUCUCUGGGCUUUGUUAAAUAACCGUAUCCUUAAUUUCACUAUAAACAAAUGCAAGUGCUGUGAGUUAAAUGGAGUUGGGAGCUGAGCUGGAACUGGUAAACUGGGGGCUCACUGCUUCUUUGGAAGCCGCUGAUGAAGCUGGUGAAUGCAGCAAGUGUCCAGUGGCUCAGGGGUUUGGGCCAGUUCCUUGGGGCAGAAGCCAACAUUCAUUGUGUGUUACAGUAGCAUCUACAGGUGCCCCAGACAAUGUGCGAGGAGAGAGCGCUCGUCAAGACCAAGGAAAGAGGAAAGAGAAGAUGUAAUGGCUGCACAUCAGAUCCCUGAAGCUGCAGCUAGAAGCUUCUAGCCAGACCAGCGCGACAGGCUCUCGGGUCAGAGCACCCACUCAGUUGCAGGUUGAAACAAGAUGGGCGGCAUUUUUACAUCUCAGGUGGAUCUGGAAAAGCUGAAGAACGAGGAGGCAGCGAAGAAGAGACAGCACGAGGGCGAGGAGGCAGAGAAGAAUAGACAGCACGAGAUGGAAGAGAGGCAGCGAGAGAGAGCAUGAGGACCGUGAAAGAGAGCGACAGCACAAGGAACGCAUGCACCAGAGAGAGCUUAAAGACAAGGCCGAGGAAAGAGAGGCCCAGCGCCAGAUGCAAGAGAGAGAGUAUGAGGCCCGGCGCCAGAUGCAAGAGAGAGAGUAUGAGGAGCAAGAGAAGAAGAGGAAGCACGAGGAGAAAAUCAUAAAGCUGCAGAUCAAAAAAUUGAAAUUGCAAAUUCUCUGCAACACUAACCUCUCAUCCAGUAAGAAUUCCCCAAAGGGCAAUCUUCUCCAAGAUAUGCUCUCAUCCAUCACAUGCCCCACUAUGUCUGAUGCUGUUGAGAAUGGUGAUGACAGCAGUGACGACGAUGUUGAUGACAGUUCAAGAUAGAGAACCCUCCAUUCUUAACCCUUCUGAACGGAGGAACUGUGAUGCUCGAUGUAUUGUCGCCUAACCUGCCACCAAGGACAUAGUCCAUUUCUCCUCUCACCUUCCCUUCCCCUUUGGAAUGCUUUUCCCACCCAGGAGUUUAUUUCUGACUUUUCCUUUUGCUUUUCUGAGUCCUACUUAUUGGCAGUGCUAAUAAAGACAUAAGCGACA
Chrysemys picta bellii (western painted turtle) is the source of this 1238-nucleotide non-coding RNA. The record is from RefSeq and is a predicted model, not a curated record. Lineage: Eukaryota; Metazoa; Chordata; Testudines; Emydidae.